CCUGCCACCGUCCCGGUUCCCACGGACGACCGUAUGGCAGGAGCGGGGGACCCAUUCCGGGCAUCGGAGACGGUGUCCUCGGGGUGAAGCCGGUCAGGGCGCGAGUCCUGGACGGCCGGGUGAUUUCUCCCACCCGAACCCGACAGCUGACCUCGUAGGCGACCGGAGAGGUAGA
Molecule: small RNA, 175 nt
Filed under: Isoptericola dokdonensis
Lineage: Bacteria; Bacillati; Actinomycetota; Actinomycetes; Micrococcales; Promicromonosporaceae
Also listed under: 1 other name
Description: c-di-AMP sequence
Rfam family: c-di-AMP riboswitch aptamer (ydaO/yuaA leader)
About the family: This family represents a conserved RNA structure found upstream of the ydaO and yuaA genes in Bacillus subtilis and related genes in other bacteria.
Source: RNAcentral